Molecule: non-coding RNA, 29 nt
Filed under: Rattus norvegicus (Norway rat)
Lineage: Eukaryota; Metazoa; Chordata; Mammalia; Rodentia; Muridae
Source: RNAcentral
UGGGAACUUCGCAAAGAUCAAAGGAGAAA